Suricata suricatta (meerkat) is the source of this 507-nucleotide long non-coding RNA. RefSeq lists it as uncharacterized. Lineage: Eukaryota; Metazoa; Chordata; Mammalia; Carnivora; Herpestidae. The record is from RefSeq and is a predicted model, not a curated record. The transcript has 2 exons.
GCAGCCACCGGUGUUGCAAUGUUCUGAUGUUGCCCCAGUUAUUGUAGCCACGUUCCAGGGGUGUCCAGGGGUUCAGUCGCCUUCGCAUCCAUUGCUUGGUUUUGGGAGGUGAGAACCUGGGCUCAGAAAUGCCCCCACUUCGCGACUACAGCCCCCCAGAGGGCCAAAGGUGGCCUGAGAUCACAUUGCUCGCCAGGACCGAGAGAUCCGUGAGGGUCAUCUCUCCAACUCUGAGAAAAGGACCUCUCUUAUCCCCCGAUGGGAGUGGCUGCAUCCCUCUGACCUACCCAGGGCAAGUCUAGUCCCACAUUUACUGGGCCUCAAUUGAGCUAAGGAAAUGAAGUUAAAUUAGCAGCUCUCCAAGUCAGCAGGGGCUGGAAGACUCACGAGAACUGUUUCAAGACUAUUUAAAGGACAUCUUACCAAGUAUACAAGAAAAUCGCUGUUACUUGUAAAUCAUCGCUAUGACAUCAAGUGUUUUAAUAGUUUUAGUCUGUGCUUUUCAAA